GGAGAGGUGUCCGAGCGGCUUAAGGAGCACGCCUGGAAAGCGUGUAUACACAAUAACGUGUAUCGAGGGUUCGAAUCCCUCUCUCUCCG
Molecule: transfer RNA, 89 nt
Filed under: Chlorobiota bacterium
Lineage: Bacteria; Pseudomonadati; Chlorobiota
Description: Chlorobi bacterium (hydrothermal vent metagenome) tRNA-Ser
Rfam family: tRNA
About the family: Transfer RNA (tRNA) molecules are approximately 80 nucleotides in length.
Source: RNAcentral